AAGACAGCCUGUCUUGGGCAUAGCUAAAACCAGUUCAUACUAUAUAUCUUACUCUGUUCUGUGCUGCUGUGCCAGAAGACCAUGAACAAGGUCAUUUAUAAACAACAGAAGUUCAUCUGAGGCUGGGAAUCUCAAGAUGGAGGGGCCACAUUUGGAAACAGCUGCACAUUUGGGCAGAGGGACAUAGAAAGCAUUGGUAGAUAGUCACGUUGCCACCACAGAUGUCCCUGCCUUGGCUGGGGACAGAAGACAGCAGCCAAUAUUCACAGAGGACUGCAGAUGUUCUCCUUUAACUUGGAUCAGAAGGGCUAUUAUGGACAACACAAUGUGUCCCAAACAAUAACAUGAUUCUACGGUGCUGUCCUGAGCAGCAUCAGCAGGGGAAACCAAGACACCUCCUCAGCUGUCUGUGGACCUCAAGAGGGUUUGUUCUCAUGGAUACACGGUUACCCUAGGCACUUAGCUCUAGGGCAGGUGAUCCUGACUGAGGAAGGAGAAAGAACACCGAGGGAGGGGCAUGAGAGGAGGAAAAAAACCAAUGUAAGGAGAAAUUCAACCCAGAGAUGAGCAGAGAAGUGGUGAAGAGAAGGAGUUCCAAAGCUGGUGUUUAAAACAUCCAACAAUGAGACACAGAAGAAGAAGGAAAAGGAGAAGACGGAGAAGAAGAAGAAGAAGAAGAAUCCUUAUUCUGUGACUUUGAAGAUAAAAGGAAAAAAAUUUGGAUUUCUGAUAUUUAUGGUUACUUGUCAAUUGUGUAGUGCUAAUUUAUCCCAUAGGGUAGGGUGGAGGAUAGUCUUACAUUUGUAUCUUGAGAAGUGUCAGUUCAUAGUUUGGUGUGUUUUAAACUUGAUGCCUUAAAAGCUUGAGUUGGAUCUCUUUUAGUUUAACAUCUUCACCAAGUAGGGUGAUCAACUUGCCCUGGUUUGCUUGGGCUUUUCUGGAGUUUAGCACUGAAAGUCCUGCAGCCCAAGAAAGACCUCAGUCCUCAGCAAACAAGGAUGAUCAGUCACGCUACCAUAAACACAAGACUAUUCUACACACACAACACAUAUUCUCUCUUUCCUGCUGUGCAUCUUGCCUUCUAUGCACCCAAUAUGUUUGUAAGGGUGUGUGUGCGCGCAUACACACACACACACACACACACUCACAACCCAAGUAUGUGGAAUCUGAACUAAACCAAGAGAAACUAUUUGUAAUCAAUUGUUCUUUUGCUUUUUAAAUGAAAUAAACUACAUCGUUUCAAACUCCUGGACUCAAGCAAUCCUGCCUCAGCCUCCUGAAGUAGCUGGGACUAAAGGCACAUACCACCACACCCAACUGUAAUCAGGUCUUUAAAGUCUUGCUUUUAAGCAUAUGGCAA
Molecule: long non-coding RNA, 1360 nt
Organism: Marmota monax (woodchuck)
Lineage: Eukaryota; Metazoa; Chordata; Mammalia; Rodentia; Sciuridae
Exons: 5
Source: RefSeq, a predicted model, not a curated record